Molecule: ribosomal RNA, 479 nt
Filed under: uncultured bacterium
Lineage: Bacteria
Description: partial 16S ribosomal RNA
Rfam family: Bacterial small subunit ribosomal RNA
Source: RNAcentral
GAUGAACGCUAGCGGGAGGCCUAACACAUGCAAGCCGAGCGGUAGAGUUUCUUCGGAAACUUGAGAGCGGCGCACGGGUGCGUAACACGUGUGCAACCUACCUUUAUCUGGGGGAUAGCCUUUCGAAAGGAAGAUUAAUACCCCAUAAUAUAAUGAUUGGCAUCAAUUAUUAUUGAAAACUCCGGUGGAUAGAGAUGGGCACGCGCAAGAUUGGAUAGUUGGUGAGGUAACGGCUCACCAAGUCAAUGAUCUUUAGGGGUCCUGAGAGGGAGAUCCCCCACACUGGUACUGAGACACGGACCAGACUCCUACGGGAGGCAGCAGUGAGGAAUAUUGGACAAUGGGUGAGAGCCUGAUCCAGCCAUCCCGCGUGAAGGAUGACGGUCCUAUGGAUUGUAAACUUCUUUUGUACAGGGAUAAACCUACCCUCGGGAGGGUAGCUGAAGGUACUGUACGAAUAAGCACCGGCUAACUCCGUG